Molecule: non-coding RNA, 128 nt
Organism: Rhinolophus ferrumequinum (greater horseshoe bat)
Lineage: Eukaryota; Metazoa; Chordata; Mammalia; Chiroptera; Rhinolophidae
Source: Ensembl
CCUGGAGGACUAAGAAGGCUGAGUCUGAUGAAGUAAGACUCUGCCGAUACCAUCCUCCUAGAAAAACGGGUUGCAGAGAGCAGCCCUCCCUGGAGAGCUCAGAGGGCUGACUGUACCACCCAACAUUC